RNAcentral lists this ribosomal RNA (519 nucleotides) under uncultured eukaryote. Its description in RNAcentral is "bacterial SSU rRNA". It matches the Rfam family "Eukaryotic small subunit ribosomal RNA", at positions 1161 to 1701 of the family's 1831-position model. The record is from RNAcentral.
AGGGCACCACCAGGAGUGGAGCCUGCGGCUUAAUUUGACUCAACACGGGAAAUCUCACCAGGCCCGGACACCGGAAGGAUUGACAGAUUGAGAGCUCUUUCUUGAUUCGGUGGGUGGUGGUGCAUGGCCGUUCUUAGUUGGUGGAGCGAUUUGUCUGGUUAAUUCCGAUAACGGACGAGACUCUGGCCUACUAAAUAGACGUCAAAUCUCUUGUAGGUUUGUCGUAUGCUUCUUAGAGGGACGGGCGGCGUUUAGCCGCACGAGAAUGAGCAAUAACAGGUCUGUGAUGCCCUUAGAUGUCCGGGGCCGCACGCGCGCUACACUGAAGGAAGCAGCGUGUAACAACCUUGUUCUAACGAACUGGGUAACCCGUGGAACUUCCUUCAUGAUUGGGAUAGGGGUUUGCAAUUGUGCCCCUUGAACGAGGAAUUCCCAGGAAACACUAGUCAUCAGCUAGUGCUGAUUACGUCCCUUGCCCUUUGUCACACCGCCCGUCGCUACUACGAAUGAAUGGUUAAG